UGGGCAAGACUUGAAUUGAAGUUUGAUGGAAAACCUUGAUGACUUAUAAAUUCAUGGUUUAUACUUAAAUGUGUUUUUUUUGUUUUUUAAUGUGUAAAUUAAAAUGUACAUCAAUUUAGAGCAUAAUAGAAUUUUCUUCAAAUCUUAGACAAUGCAAAAUGAAUGUAAAGGAAAAAAUGUGUUAUGUUUGGAUUUCAAGUUAAAGUUUAGACAAAACAUUCUUGAAUAUGAGGAAAUGCAAUGAUUCAAAAUCAAGUGAACUA
RNAcentral lists this long non-coding RNA (263 nucleotides) under Lathyrus oleraceus (garden pea). RNAcentral's name for it is "Pisum sativum (pea) long non-coding RNA (PSAT_LNC018664)". Lineage: Eukaryota; Viridiplantae; Streptophyta; Magnoliopsida; Fabales; Fabaceae. The record is from RNAcentral.